Molecule: long non-coding RNA, 289 nt
Filed under: Elaeis guineensis (African oil palm)
Lineage: Eukaryota; Viridiplantae; Streptophyta; Magnoliopsida; Arecales; Arecaceae
Description: long non-coding RNA (EGUI_LNC024680)
Source: RNAcentral
GACAGCAGCGACUUUCGAUAGCUCCGACUUUUGGCAGCCCGAGCACGGCCACGUCCAGCAGCGACGACCAAGUCGACGGAAGAAGAAAAGAAAGAAAAAACAAGGAAAAAGAAUAGGGCAUCCAAUCUGGCAAUUAAUCACUCCAAUCCAGUCGACAGUGGCAGCCUUAGCAUCAUGAAAGAGAGAAGAAGGAUCAAGGACCCUUGUCUCAACUCCGGUGAGGCUUCAAAGCUAUCUCAAUGAAGGUUUCAAUGGAAAGGCACAAUGAAGAUCAGUGCUAUUAACCGGC